Molecule: long non-coding RNA, 1663 nt
Organism: Tachysurus fulvidraco (yellow catfish)
Lineage: Eukaryota; Metazoa; Chordata; Actinopteri; Siluriformes; Bagridae
Exons: 3
Source: RefSeq, a predicted model, not a curated record
CCUGCUCUCAUCCAUCUGGACCUCGUCCUGCACCUCGUCCGCUACAGAAUCGUGUUGAGUGCAUGAAAUGUUCAACCUUGCACUCUUUGUUCGUCCAUCUGACUUUGUUCCAUGUUGAGCAGACUGGUCCACGGACAGAGCAGAAGUUUCCCAUCAGUCUGACAGCAUGGCAGUGUCUGGAUGAUGUUCCCUGUGACCCUUCUGGCCCCGCUGCCUGCUGUCACUUCCCAAAAUCCCACAGGGCGUGCCAUGUUAUUGCAGCCCUCUCCUUAUGGUGUCGCUCAGCAAGGACUAAGAGGCAGUGCCAUGCAAAUACACUCAAGAUGCCAGUGGCAUCUGGCCCCUGCUAACACUACAGCAUCCUGACAAGAAUUUGGACUACUUUCCACUGCAGCGUUUCAGCUUCUGGACAAGGUCUUCUGUCUGUUGAUGAUUGCUGUAAAAAAAAAAAAAGAAAAAGAAAUAAUCUCCAUCCCUCCGCUGCUAUUACUACAUUAUUUCUUUGCACAGACAGACAGAUACAACACAUACAGCAAAUACUUUUUUAGGAAGUUAAAAUGAAAUCGAAUCGGAUGUUUGAAAUAUUAAAUCUCUCAGCUGAAUAAACGAUAUUGUCAUUAUUCUGAUGACAAAUGUUUUUAUUCAGUCGCAUUGGAGAAGUGAAACGUUUGCAUAUGUUGUAUUAAUACGACUAACUGCGAUAGUUAUGCUGAAAUCGACCCGUCAGUCCGUGUAUGUCACGUGACCUCAUCUCAUGUCCUAAAUCUGAGUUUUUCAAAUACAAAUUAAAAUUGUAUUCACCCCAUACACAAUCGAUCACGUUAGGACGUACACGGAUAUAUUGAAUAAAAAUGAAUAAAAAUCGAAUUAGCUGUAUAGAAUGUGGGGAAAUUAAUUAAAUAGACACAGCACAAUAUAAAAAAAAUCCAGCAUAUGAAUACACCACAAAAACGGAUUAUAUUAAUAUGAAUUUUUGAAUAUAUGCAUAAAGUGGUUUGUAGAAAAAAAGUCUAUAAUCUAAAGCCUUGGUCGUGUUCCUACUUUGCAUGUGUUACAUCCUGUACCUGAAUCAAUUGGUAAUCAGCAGAUAUCGUUAUUACCUGUAAUUUAUUAAUACAGACUUUCAUGUACAUUCUCUCUCACUCAUCUUCUACCGCUUACCCGAACUUCUCGGGUCACGGGGAGCCUGUGCCUAUCUCAGUUGUCAUCGGGCAUCGAGGCAGGAUACACCCUGGAUGGAGUGUCAACCAAUCACAGGGCUCAUGUACUUUCUGUAGUCCCCAUUUUGCAAAAGCUGGUCUAUAGCUUGAUAGAGAAGCAGUUGUUAAUUCCACUUUUCCCUGUUAGAGCACAGAUAGAGUAUCAUUUCUAUUAGAUAAGAAAUAGUGUGGGUUAAAAAUCUUUAAGGUGGAUUUUUAUUAACUGACUACUUUAUGUUUGCAAGAACCCUCUUUGGUUACAACCCUCAUAAGGUUGGUGCUAUUUUGUGUAUUUGUCCUGAAGUGUUUUGUAUUGUCUGUUUGCACUGUUUUGUCUUAUGUACUAGAUUGAACACGAUGUAUGUCAUGUGUCUAGGACACCUUACUUUCAGUCCUUAGCUCUGUGUUGUUCUAUGUAGCUCCAUUGUCCUGGAGAGACGUUGUCUCAUUUUACAUAAGCAGAU